Molecule: ribosomal RNA, 497 nt
Filed under: uncultured bacterium
Lineage: Bacteria
Description: partial 16S ribosomal RNA
Rfam family: Bacterial small subunit ribosomal RNA
Source: RNAcentral
GAUGAACGCUGGCGGCCUGCCUAAUACAUGCAAGUCGAGCGAACGGACGAGAAGCUUGCUUCUCUGAUGUUAGCGGCGGACGGGUGAGUAACACGUGGAUAACCUACCUAUAAGACUGGGAUAACUUCGGGAAACCGGAGCUAAUACCGGAUAAUAUUUUGAACCGCAUGGUUCAAAAGUGAAAGACGGUCUUGCUGUCACUUAUAGAUGGAUCCGCGCUGCAUUAGCUAGUUGGUAAGGUAACGGCUUACCAAGGCAACGAUGCAUAGCCGACCUGAGAGGGUGAUCGGCCACACUGGAACUGAGACACGGUCCAGACUCCUACGGGAGGCAGCAGUAGGGAAUCUUCCGCAAUGGGCGAAAGCCUGACGGAGCAACGCCGCGUGAGUGAUGAAGGUCUUCGGAUCGUAAAACUCUGUUAUUAGGGAAGAACAUAUGUGUAAGUAACUGUGCACAUCUUGACGGUACCUAAUCAGAAAGCCACGGCUAACUACGUG